GAUGAAGAACGCAGCGAAAUGCGAUAAGUAAUGUGAAUUGCAGAAUUCAGUGAAUCAUCGAAUCUUUGAACGCACCUUGCGCUCCUUGGUAUUCCGAGGAGCAUGCCUGUUUGAGUGUCAUGAAAUUCUCAACCUUUUCAGCUUUCUUUGUUGAUCAGGCUUGGAUGUGGGAGUAUGCAGGCUUCUCAGAAGUCGGCUCUCCUGAAAUGCAUUAGCGGGACCUUUGUUGCCUGGCUUUGGUGUGAUAAUUAUCUACGCCAUUGUAGUCAAGGAGCUUAAAAUGAGGUUUCAGCUUCUAACCGUCUCCCCUGAGACAACUUUUUGACAAUUUGACCUCAAAUCAGGUAGGACUACCCGCUGAACUUAAGCAUAUCAAUAAGCGGAGGA
This 387-nucleotide unclassified non-coding RNA is filed under the name soil metagenome. RNAcentral's name for it is "partial contains 5.8S ribosomal RNA, internal transcribed spacer 2, and large subunit ribosomal RNA". The stretch from base 1 to 120 matches the Rfam family "5.8S ribosomal RNA", at positions 35 to 154 of the family's 154-position model. The record is from RNAcentral.